Paramuricea clavata is the source of this 819-nucleotide non-coding RNA. NCBI's taxonomy places the organism in Eukaryota, Metazoa, Cnidaria, Anthozoa, Malacalcyonacea, Plexauridae. The record is from the annotation of a GenBank genome assembly.
AUAAAAAUACGUCUGUGCCUAUUACUAUUUAUAGUGUUGUCAAUCAAAUUAAAAUACAAUUAACAUUAAGGAGGCUCCCUACAGUUGCGUGCGGGAUCUUCGCGGGACCAGUACGUGAACUAUCCCACGCAACCGCAUGAUCAAAACAAAACAAAAUUUUCUUUUUAAAAAAAAGCUAUUUCUGAAAGGUUUCUAAUGGGAAAAAGCGUUGAAUAAUACUUCGUUUUGAGUGCCAAAUUACUUGCGAGUCUAUACAGCAAUUCUACAUAUGAUACGAAUACCACUAGACCAAAAAAUAGCUACGAAACAAUGUGUUUUAAUGUUUUUAAAAUAUACAUUGUCAACUGUAAAACAUUUGCAAAAUUGCAUACAAACGUUUAAUAAGUUGUUUAUUUCUCAAGAAAACGUUCACGUUUUUAGUCGUGUUUCUACAAGAUUAAAGUGAUUAUAUGUAAACAGAAAAAUAUUUCAGUUUCAUAGCCUAAUUGUUCAUUUUUAGCAAAAAGUACAAAACCAAACAUGAAACAAAAAAAAACACGUCCACCUGUUAGUAGGCUGUUACAGCUCAUAGAUUGAGUAAACGGCAGGAUUCAAUUAGUAUCAACCUUGUUUUCAUCGAUUUAAUCCUUCACAAUAAUCCUUGGCUGUCCAUAGCACUCAAAUAAAUCGAAAAGUUGACAAAAACAAAACAGUAAAAACAACAUUGCGGUUCGAUUUUGCUGAAUGAAAACUCGUUCUGCGCCCGCGUACAAUCUUUUACUAGUCAGCGACGCUUUUCAAUAGGGGAAUUUCUCGAGUUACACGAGGCUAUUUUCUAAC